Long non-coding RNA from Glycine soja, 1603 nucleotides. RefSeq lists it as uncharacterized. The record is from RefSeq and is a predicted model, not a curated record. NCBI's taxonomy places the organism in Eukaryota, Viridiplantae, Streptophyta, Magnoliopsida, Fabales, Fabaceae. The transcript is spliced from 5 exons.
GGUAUAUUAACAUUACAUGGCCUAUUAUUCUUUUUCUGUAGCUAUCAUUUAGUACAGAUGGCGUGUUUCGCUUGCUUGUUUCCUCACUGAUUGAAACCUCUCCACAUUAGAUAAUAAAAGCACAACUAAGUUGUUUUCCCAUAUAUUCAUGUGUUAAUUUUAACUUGUGUACAACUGUAACUGCAUUAUCAAUAGACUGAGUGAAUGUAUUAUUAUCCCACAGAUGACUCUGUGGUCGAUGGCAAAGUCUCCCCUUAUGUAUGGAGGGGAUGUUCGGAAGAUUGAUCCUAGCACAUAUGAUGUUAUCACAAAUCCUACCCUUUUGGAGAUUAAUUCUUUCAGCUCAAAUAACAUGGAGGCAUGUGAACCAUAUAUCUUUUUUGGGAUGGAGGGAAUAAUGUUUCUCAAAUUAAUGUCAUAUUUCUUUUGCUGCAUUGGCAGUUUCCUUAUAUCACAAGUGUGAAUAGUGAAGAUCGGGAUCUUGGUAAGCAAAUGAGAAGAAGCAGCAAAGAAAUAAAAACAACCUAUACUCAUUCAUUAGGCCUCACAAGCUGCACUGAGUCAAAGGCAAGUGGUUUGGCUAGUGGAAGUCUUAACCAAUAUCCUGAAAGACUAUGUUGGAAAAGGAGUUUAGGAAACAAGCAUCUUGCCCCCUUCUGUGUGCACAAGAGAGAACUUUACUUCCCAUUGUAAUCUUGCUUUAUCUUUCUCUGUUUUAUUUUCCUAACUUUGAUUUGAGUAUUAAUGUUGUUGACAACAGAAAUUGUGACUUUGAUACCGAUACAGUGGUGAAGUGGGUAUGUAUCAAGAGUAUCAUCACUAUCAUUUAGUUGCAACUAACAGAAUAAAAUUUUGCUUGGAUGCUUCUCCAAAACACAAGCUUACUUCUAAAGAGUUCAAGAGAGGGACAUUUUCUCCCUGCAGAUGUGGGAGUUGAACCCUAAUGGGACCCUGGUGAAAAGUUAUUCUGGCUUGUGUGCAACAGUAGAGUCUAGUGAAGUAUCCAUGAUGCAAAUUGUCCGUUUAUGAAGAUACUAUAAAUUCUGGUGGCCUGCACUCUUGGAUAGCUACAGGAAGAAAAGGAGAAGUCUACGUUGCAUUCUUCAAUCGAAGUGAAAAGAAGGCGGUAAUAUCUGCACAAACAUCAGACCUGGCAGAGACUUCAGUUCUUGUGAGUGCAGUGAAGUGAGGAGAUGCUAUAGAAAUAACUCAGGGAACGUUAUCAACGGCAGUGGAAGUGCACUAGUUGUUCUCAAUUGCAACUAGUCCAUCCCCCUUUCCCCAAAAAUAGAAGAAAAAUGGCAUUUCAGUGGCUUUCUUAAUAGUUGUGCUAGUGGGGUGAUGGCUGCUUGAGAAAACAAGUUAGUAUAUACUACUUUGUUUACUUCAAAUAACGGUGGUGUAGCUGCUCCGGCUGCUGAGAAAUAAGGAAAAAAGAAAAAAAGUAGAGGAAGACGAUGAUGAUUUGGGAUUCUCACUCUUCGAUUAGACUACUACACUUAUACUUUCUUCCUUUUUUACUUAAACAAACACCUUUAGUUUUAAGCUAAAAAAUUUGUAUUAAUUUUGCAUCAAUUAAUAAUGCUUUUGGUUCUCAAUAAUA